This 333-nucleotide small nuclear RNA is filed under the name Sus scrofa (pig). Its description in RNAcentral is "7SK RNA (ENSSSCG00070018842.1)". The stretch from base 1 to 286 matches the Rfam family "7SK RNA". Rfam says of the family: 7SK was discovered as an abundant small nuclear RNA in the mid-70s but a possible function has only recently been suggested. The record is from RNAcentral. Lineage: Eukaryota; Metazoa; Chordata; Mammalia; Artiodactyla; Suidae.
GGAUGUGAGAGCGAUCUGGCUGUGACAACUAUCACCCCACUAAUUGCCAGGGUUGAUUCAGCUGAUCUGGCUGGUAGGUGGGUGUCCCCUUUCUCUUAACUGCUCCAUGUGAGUCCCUCCUGAAGCUGCCUGCUCAGUUGAAGAGGAUGACCAGCUCUGAUAGAGAAGGACCAUUCUUUGGUCAAGGGUGUAUGAGUAGCUGUACUCCCCUGCUAGAACCCCCAAAUGAGCUCUCAAGAGCUAGUUUUUUGAAAAUAUAACUAAAAGUAACAAGUUUCUAGGCUCCCAAGAAGAAAAGAGAGAGAACCCAAAUAAACAAAAAAGAAAUAAUUU